ACUUUUAACAAUAGAUCUCUUGGUUCUAGCAUUAAUAAAGAACGCAGCGAAAUGCGAUAAGUAGUGUAAAUUGUAGAAUUUAGUAAAUUAUUAAAUCUUUAAACGCAUAUUGCGCCCCUUAGUAUUCUAUAGGGCAUGCCUGUUUAAGCGUUAUUUGUACCCUUAAGCUCUGCUUAGUGUUAGGUGUUUAUUCUACUUAGGACUCGCCUUAAAACAAUUAGCAGCUGGCACAUUAGCCUAGAGCGCAGCAUAUUUUACGCCUCUUAUUAUAAUUGUUAGUAUCUAUUAAGACACUUUUUAAGCUCUUAACCUUGGAUUAGGUAGGGAUACCCGCUGAACUUAAGUAUAUUAAUAAGCGGAGGAAAAGAAACUAAUAGGGAUUGCCCUAGUAACAGCGAGUGAAGCAGCAACAGCUUAAAUUUAAAAUCUAGCUCUUUUAGGGUCUAAGUUGUAAUUUGCAGAGGGCGCUUUAGCGUUAGUAGUGGUCCAAGUUCCUUAGAAUAGGACGUUAUAGAGGGUAAGAAUCCUAUACGUAGUUGCUAGCCUUUGCUGUGUAAAGCCCCUUUAAUAAGUUAAGUUAUUUAGGAAUAUAGCUCUAAAUAGGAGGUAAAUUUCUUCUAAAGCUAAAUACUAGCUAGAGACUAAUAGCGCAUAAGUAGAGUAAUUAAAAGAUAAAAAGCACUUUAGAAAGAGAGUUAAAUAACACGUGAAAUUGUUAAAAGGGAAGCGCUUGUAGCUAGACUUGCCUGUAGUUGCUUAUCUAGGCUUUUGUCUAGUGCACUCUUCUAUAGGCAGGCUAGUAUUAGUUUAGGUGGUUAGAUAAAGGUCUCUAUUACGUACCUCCCUUUAGGGAGGCCUUAUAGGGGAGACGACAUGUAACUAGCCUAGACUAAGGUCCGCGUAUCUGCUAGGAUGCUAGCGUAAUAGCUAUAAGCGGCCUGUCUUAAAAUAUAGACUAAGGAGUCUAACAUCUAUACAAGUGUUUAGGUGUUAAGCCUAGACGCGUAAUAAAAGUAAAUAGAGGUAGGACCCCUUUUAGGGUGCACUAUUAACCAAUCCUAAUGUCUUUAGAAGGAUUUAAGUAAGAGCAUAGCUAUUAGGACCUAAAAGAUAGUAAACUAUGCUUAAAUAGGGUAAAGCUAGAGGAAACUCUAGUAGAGGCUCGUAGUGGUUCUAACGUGCAAAUUAAUUGUUAAAUUUAGGCAUAGGGGCGAAAGACUAAUUAAACUAUCUAGUAGCUAGUUCCUACUAAAGUUUCCCUUAGGAUAGCAGUAACGUAUUUAGUUUUAUAAGGUAAAGCGAAUAAUUAGAGGCCUAGGGGUUGCCUGGCUUUCNNNNNNNNNNNNNNNNNNNNNNNNNNNNNNNNNNNNNNNNNNNNNNNNNNNNNNNNNNNNNUAGUCCUUAUUACUUAAUUAAACGUGGACACUUAAAUAUACUAUUACUAGUAGGCUAUUUUUGGUAAGCAGAACUAGCAAUAUAGGAUAAACUAAACGUAGGGUUAAGGUGCUAGAAUGCACGCUUAUUAGAUACUACAAAAGGUGUUAGUUUAUCUAGACAGUAGGAUAGUAGCUAUAGAAGUUAGAAUCUACUAAGGAGUGUGUAAUAACUUACCUACUAAAUAAACUAGCCCUAAAAAUAGAUGGCGCUUAAGCGUGUUACCUAUACCCCGCCGCUAGGGCAAGAUUUAAGCCCUAGCAAGUAGGCAGGCGUGGAGGCUCGUGACGAAGCCUUAGGGGUAACCCUAGGUAGAACAGCCUCUAGUGCAGAUCUUAGUAGUAGUAGCAAAUACUUAAAUAAGAACUUUAAGGACUAAAGUAGGGAAAGGUUCCGUGUGAAUAGUAGUUAGAUAUAGGUUAGUUAAUCCUAAGAGAUAGGGUAAUUCUGUUUUAAUGUUAGCGCUUAUACUACGCCCUUAAAAGGGAAGCUAGUUAAUAUUCUAGUACCUAGAUAUAGAUUCUCUGUAGUAACGCAACUAAGAGCGGAGACCUUAGCAGGAGCCCUAAGAAGAGUUCUCUUUUCUUCUUAACAGUCUAUUACCCUAAAAUUAGUUUGUCUAGAGCUAGGGUUUAAUAGCUAGAAGAGCGCUACACUUUUGUAGUGUUUAGUGCGCUUCUAAUAAGCCUUAAAAAUCUACUUAAAGAAAUAGUUUUUACGCUAGGUUAUACUUAUAACUGUAGUAGGUCUCUAAGGUAAAAAGCCUCUAGUUAAUAGAAUAAUGUAGAUAAGGGAAGUUAGUAAAAUAGAUCUGUAACUUUAGGAAAAGGAUUAGCUCUAAGGGUUAGGUACGUUAGGCCUUAGGGAGAAGCCUCUAGCGUAGAAGGGCACUAACUGCAAGGUAGGCGCCUCUUAGCGCUAGGGUGCAGACACCCUUAGUAGGUUUUAGCUAUCUAGCGUAUAUUUAAUAACUAACUUAGAACUAGUAUAGAUAAGGGGAAUCUAACUAUCUAAUUAAAACAUAGCAUUGCAAUAGCUAGAAAGUAGUAUUAACGUAAUGUGAUUUCUGCCUAGUGCUCUAAAUAUUAAAGCAAAGAGAUUUAACUAAGCGCGGGUAAAUAGCAGGAGUAACUAUAACUCUCUUAAGGUAGCUAAAUGCCUUGUUAUCUAAUUAGUAACGCGUAUAAAUAGAUUAACGAGAUUCCUACUAUCCCUAUCUACUAUCUAGCGAAACUAUAGCUAAGGGAACAGGCUUAGCUAAAUUAGCAGGGAAAGAAGACCCUAUUAAGCUUAACUCUAGUUUAACAUUAUAAAAAGACAUAGGGGGUGUAGAAUAGGUGGGAGCUUUAGCGCUAGUAAAAUACUACUACCCUUAUUGUUUUUUUACUUAUUUAAUAAAGCAGAGCUAGGCCUUACUACCUAACUUCUAGCGUUUAAGGUCCUUUGUGGGCUAAUCUAGGUUAAAGAUAUUGUUAGGUAGGGAGUUUAGCUAGGGCGGUAUAUCUAUUAAACUAUAAUGCAGGUGUCCUAAGGGGGACUUAUAGAGAAUAGAAAUCUCUAGUAAAGUAAAAGGGCAAAAGUCCCCUUAAUUUUGAUUUUUAGUGUGAAUACAAACUAUAAAAGUGUAGCCUAUUAAUCCUUUAGUCCCUUAAAAUUUGAGGCUAGAGGUGCUAGAAAAGUUACUAUAGGGAUAACUGGCUUGUGGCAGCUAAGCGUUUAUAGCGACGUUGCUUUUUAAUCCUUUAAUAUUAGCUCUUCCUAUUAUACUAAAGCAGAAUUUAGUAAGCGUUAGAUUGUUUACCUACUAAUAGGGAAUGUAAGCUAGGUUUAGACUGUUGUAAGAUAGGUUAGUUUUACCCUACUAAUAACCUUGCCCUAAUAGUAAUACUGCUUAGUAUAAGAGGAACCGCGGUUUUAGAUAAUUAGUUUUUGCGGCUGUCUAACUAGGCAUUGCUAUAAAGCUACUAUCUGCUAGAUUAUAGCUAAACGCCUCUAAGUUAGAAUCUAUGCUAGAACGGGGUGAUUUCUGCCUGCACUAGUUAGAUACAAAUAGGCCUUUGGCCUAGAACCUUACUAGAUUGGCGUUAGCAGCCCUAUUAAAGUUAGAGUUGUUAGCUAGUGUAUUGCAAUUGUACAGUGCGCAGGAUUAAAUCCUUUGUAGACAACUUAGUUGUCUAGCUAGGUCGUGUAAGUAGUUAAGUAGCCUUGUUGUUACCAGCUACUAAGCGUAAGCCCGUUGCUAGCUUAGUUAAAAUUAGGAUAUUAUACCCUCCUUAUUUGCAAAACUGCUGCCUAAAUGGCUACUAUUAAUAGAAGGAAGAGGGCUAUAGCUAACAUGUUAUAUAGCAAUUGCAAGAUAGCAAGGGCUAGAGCUAGAAGCAAUCCUUAUAAAAUAUACAAAAGAAUAGGUUGUGUGUGUACGUACCUUAGGCAGUUAAAUUAUAGCAUAUAAAGAUUAAGAAAGGACAUAAAAUAAUCUAUAUAUAUUUGUAGGCGGUGUUCUAUAACUUAGGGCGUUCUAUAACCCUUUAUUUUUUAGGGGUAGUGUUCUAUAACUUAGGGCGUUCUAUACUUAAAAAAUCUUAUAGGCUAUUCUAUAACUAUAGAUUAUUCUAAACCUUUAGGGCAUUCUAUUAAUGUUUUAAAAAAUCUAGUAGGCUAUUUUAUAAGCUUAUAGCGUUCUAUAACUUUAGGGCGUUCUAUAACUUAGGGCGUUCUAUAACUUAGGGCGUUCUAUAACUUUUUACUUCUUAGGGGUAGUGUUCUAUAACUUAGGGCGUUCUAUACUUAAAAAAUCUUAUAGGCUAUUCUAUAACUAUAGAUUAUUCUAAACCUUUAGGGCAUUCUAUUAAUGUUUUAAAAAAUCUAGUAGGCUAUUUUAUAAGCUUAUAGCGUUCUAUAACUUUAGGGCGUUCUAUAACUUAGGGCGUUCUAUAACUUAGGGCGUUCUAUAACUUAGGGCGUUCUAUAACUUUUUACUUCUUAGGGGUAGUGUUCUAUAACUUAGGGCGUUCUAUACUUAAAAAAUCUUAUAGGCUAUUCUAUAACUAUAGAUUAUUCUAAACCUUUAGGGCAUUCUAUUAGUGUUUUAAAAAAUCUAGUAGGCUAAUUUAUAAGCUUAUAGCGUUCUAUAACUUUAGGGCGUUCUAUAACUUAGGGCGUUCUAUAACUUAGGGCGUUCUAUAACUUUUUACUUCUUAGGGGUAGUGUUCUAUAACUUAGGGCGUUCUAUAACUUUUUACUUCUUAGGGGUAGUGUUCUAUAACUUAGGGCGUUCAAUACUUAAAAAAUCUUAUAGGCUAUUCUAUAACUAUAGAUUAUUCUAAACCUUUAGGGCAUUCUAUUAAUGUUUUAAAAAAUCUAGUAGGCUAUUUUAUAAGCUUAUAGCGUUCUAUAACUAUAGGGCGUUCUAUAACUUAGGGCGUUCUAUAACUUAGGGCGUUCUAUAACUUUUUACUUCUUAGGGGUAGUGUUCUAUAACUUAGGGCGUUCUAUACUUAAAAAAUCUUAUAGGCUAUUCUAUAACUAUAGAUUAUUCUAAACCUUUAGGGCAUUCUAUUAAUGUUUUAAAAAAUCUAGUAGGCUAUUUUAUAAGCUUAUAGCGUUCUAUAACUUUAGGGCGUUCUAUAACUUAGGGCGUUCUAUAACUUAGGGCGUUCUAUAACUUUUUACUUCUUAGGGGUAGUGUUCUAUAACUUAGGGCGUUCUAUAACCUUUUAUUUUUUAGGGGUAGUGUUCUAUAACUUAGGGCGUUCUAUAACUUUUUAUUUUUAGGGGUAGUGUUCUAUAACUUAGGGCGUUCUAUAACCUUUUAUUUUUUAGGGGUAGUGUUCUAUAACUUAGGGCGUUCUAUAACUUUUUAUUUUUAGGGGUAGUGUUCUAUAACUUAGGGCGUUCUAUACCUUUUGUUUAUUCUAUUACUUUAGUGCUUUCUAUAACUUUAGACUAUUCUAUAAUAGUAGCUAUUAUAUCCUUUUUAUAAUCCUUAUAGUAUUAUACUAUUAUCUAUUAUUCUUUACUCUUAAGUAUAUCCUUAUAUUUUAUAAAUCUUUUUCUUUACUAGCUAGUCCUACUAUACUUUUUUAUAACCUACUAGUAUUAAAUAAUACCUUUAUAUUCUUCCUCUAUACUAUCUCUAUUUCUUGCCUUAUAUAUUAAGUAGAUAUAGAUAGAGCUAAUAGAUCUAUAGUUAAUAUAGAUAAAGUAGUUAUAGUAGAGUAUAGAUAUUAGAGUAGAGAUCCUUAUCUAUAUAUUUACCUACUACUAAUAGAAUUCUAAGUUACUCUUAUCUAGCGAAUACAGGUUUAUGGUUUGUAUAGGGCUGCGCAUGUCUACAUGGUUUUAUAUACAAAAAAGUGUACCUCCAAGCUAUUUUCUGCUGCACUAACCCCGCGACGCGAAAAUUAAACCAAAACCUGUUCCUAUAAUAUAUAAGGAGGGUAAAUAGAUUCUUAAAUACUAAAUACCUAACUAACUAACUAAGGUUAAAUCUGCUGCGCGCAGUUCUUGGAUUAGGCAGUUAAACUAGUGUUAUUAGGCACUAAGGGGGCAAUUUUUGCUUGUGUCCGCGUCUAUACUCCCUAUAACUCCCUGUUAUUAGCGCUCUACGCCUGUUUUAGCGGUAGUUAGACUAAAUUUAAAAGUUUUAGUUUUAUAAUAGCUAGCCUUAUUUCCUAGAUUUCUGCCUAGUUUGGAUUCGCUCUAAUUAGUGGGUAAUUAGGGGCUUAGAGAUUGCUCUUCUACUUAACUAGGCAGGCCUAGGCCUAUAUGCUAAAGCAACCCUGCUGUUACGCCUAGUUUUGUGGUUGGCACCUAAAGUCCUACUAUUAAAGUUUUAGUAGUAGGUAAAAUUUAGGGUCUAUAGAUAGCUAGCACUGCUAAACUAUUUAAUAGAUCUUAGGGGAUAGCCCUGCCUAGUAUCUGCUCCUAGUAAGCGUAGUAAAGCGUGAGUUUUCUCUACUUAAGGUAUGUAUGUGGCGAGUUUAAACACGUAGAAACGCCUAUUAGGCUUUGUUGCAGACUAUUCCUUAAGAAACUUAGUAGGGGCAAUUAAAUUAGUUGCUGGUUGUAACUAGUGCCUUGUGUGCUAUUAUGCUAGUAGCUAGAAUUGCUUCUGCGAUUUCUUAUUACGUACUUUCCGCCUCCUUUUAGGGGUAGUGCUUGUGCGCUUUGGCGUAUUAGGCAUUAGGAUUGUUACCUAGUUAAUUCUGCUAGUAGUUAUAUGCUUGU
RNAcentral lists this ribosomal RNA (6663 nucleotides) under Plenodomus lingam JN3. RNAcentral describes it as "28S_rRNA". The stretch from base 307 to 3687 matches the Rfam family "Eukaryotic large subunit ribosomal RNA". Lineage: Eukaryota; Fungi; Ascomycota; Dothideomycetes; Pleosporales; Leptosphaeriaceae. The record is from RNAcentral.